AAGCCAAAGAAAGAUCUGUGAUCGUCUCCACCACUGUGUAAAGAGCAAACACAAUCCAGUACAUCAUCCAUCGCACCUGUCAAACCAUAAACACAACAACAUCCACUCAAGGUGAAAAAUUACAGAUAGCUCACCAUCUCCCCGAUGCCAGCAGCACUCAUGCAGCCCCAGAACAUGACACUCCCACCAUCAUGUUUAUGGUAGACAAGACACAAUUGUCUUUGUACUCCCCACCUGGUUGCUGCCACACAGACUUGACACCUUCUGAACCAAAUGGGUUUAUCUUGGUGUGAGACCACAGGACAUGGUUCCAGUAAUCCUGGUCCUUAGUUUGCAUGUCUGCAGCAAAUUGUUUGCAAGCUUUCUUGCAUUGUCUUUAGAAGAGGUUUCCUUCUAGGACCACAAUCAUGCAGACUAAUUUGAUGCAGUGUGCGGCAUACGAUCUGAGCACUGACAUGCUGACCUCCUAUAUUUUCAAUCUUUGCAGCAAUGCUGGAAGCACUCAUCCGUCUGUUUUUCAAAGACAAUCUUUGGAUGUGAUGCUGAGAACGUGCACUCAGCUUCCUUGGCUGACCAUGGCGAGGCCUGUUCUGGGAAGAACCUGUCCUCUUAAAGCACUAAAUAGUCUGGGCCACUGUGCUGCAGCACAGAUUCAGAGUGUUGGCUAUCGCUUUAUAGCCUAGGCCAUCUUUAUGUAAGGCAACAAUUUGUUUUUCAGGUCUUCUGGGAGUUGUUUGCCAUGAGGUGCAAUGUUGAACUUUCAGUGGCCUGGUUGAGAGAGUGGAAGAGCUUUUAUACCAAAUUUAACUCACCAGCUAUCUGUGGAUACCCGAGACAGUGUAAUAUGCCCGAGAUGUGUGUAAUAAUAAUAUAUAAUAAUAAUAAUGUGAGAGUAUGUGAUUGGCCAUUGGCCAAGGAUAAAAAAAACAUUUAUACAACUAACCUAUAUUCAAGUAUACAGAAUCUGUUUUCAUGACUUUUCCAGGUUUUCCAUGACUGUAUGAACCCUGAGGCAAAAUAAUUGUCAAGUGUCCAGUGUUUUGGUGUAGUUUCUGUGUUUAUGUCAUGUGACUUCCCCAUGUGCGGUGAUUCCUUUGUUUCAUUUUCCACCUGUGUCUCACCCCUGUGUCUAAUUAGCUGUAGUAUGUGCUAUGUAUUUAAGUCCCUGUGGUUAGUUUGCUCCUUGUUCGGUAUUGAAGUGCCAUGGUUUUUACCCUGAUUCCUGUGUGUUGAGUGUUUUGCAAAUAAAUACGUGUAUGUUUUUAUAA
Danio rerio (zebrafish) is the source of this 1268-nucleotide non-coding RNA. NCBI's taxonomy places the organism in Eukaryota, Metazoa, Chordata, Actinopteri, Cypriniformes, Danionidae. The record is from RefSeq and is a predicted model, not a curated record.